GACGAACGCUGGCGGCGUGCCUAAUACAUGCAAGUCGAACGAAGCUGUUUUAACUGGUGCUUGCACCGACUUAAACAACUGAGUGGCGAACGGGUGAGUAACACGUGGGUAACCUGCCCCAAAGCGGGGGAUAACAUUUGGAAACAGAUGCUAAUACCGCAUAACCACAGAAACCACAUGGUUUCUGUGUCAAAGAUGGUUUCGGCUAUCACUUUGGGAUGGACCCCCGGCGUAUUAGCUAGUUGGUAAGGUAAUAGCUUACCAAGGCAAUGAUACGUAGCCGAACUGAGAGGUUGAUCGGCCACAUUGGGACUGAGACACGGCCCAAACUCCUACGGGAGGCAGCAGUAGGGAAUCUUCCACAAUGGACGAAAGUCUGAUGGAGCAACGCCGCGUGAGUGAAGAAGGUUUUCGGAUCGUAAAACUCUGUUGUCAGAGAAGAACGUGUGCGAGAGUAACUGUUCGUGCAGUGACGGAAUCUGGCCAGAAAGCCACGGCUAACUACGUGCCAGCCGCCGCCGUAA
Molecule: ribosomal RNA, 524 nt
Filed under: uncultured bacterium
Lineage: Bacteria
Description: partial 16S ribosomal RNA
Rfam family: Bacterial small subunit ribosomal RNA
Source: RNAcentral